AAAUUUCAGCAAGCUACAGGAGCAUACCAACUCCUUGCUGCGGAGAAAACGGAGGCUCACAUGAGCUUGGAGGACAUACUGGAUUUAUUGAACGUGAUGUUUUUUGGAGCUAUGGGUGGAUUCCCAUUUCAUCGUCAGCGUUUUGUAUUCUCCAAUGGAGAUCGAGACAAGUUUUGCAUCUCGGAUGACGGCAAUGUGGAUGACCUGUUGAACCCAAGCGGGGGUUCUCACGAACCCAGCGCCUAUCCCUGCCAGAGCAGCCGUGAACCCUGCCAUGGCACGCA
This is a long non-coding RNA of Lethenteron reissneri (Far Eastern brook lamprey), 284 nucleotides long. RefSeq lists it as uncharacterized. Lineage: Eukaryota; Metazoa; Chordata; Hyperoartia; Petromyzontiformes; Petromyzontidae. The record is from RefSeq and is a predicted model, not a curated record.